RNAcentral lists this small nuclear RNA (22 nucleotides) under Arabidopsis thaliana (thale cress). RNAcentral describes it as "snRNA_16044". Lineage: Eukaryota; Viridiplantae; Streptophyta; Magnoliopsida; Brassicales; Brassicaceae. The record is from RNAcentral.
AUCGACUAAAGAGUUGUUAUUU